UACGGAGGGUGCAAGCGUUGUCCGGAUUUAUUGGGUUUAAAGGGUGCGUAGGCGGCUUUUUAAGUCUGGGGUGAAAGCCCGUUGCUCAACAACGGAACUGCCCUGGAAACUGGAGAGCUUGAGUACAGACGAGGUUGGCGGAAUGGAGGGUGUAGCGGUGAAAUGCAUAGAUACCCUCCAGAACCCCGAUUGCGAAGGCAGCUGACUAGGCUGUAACUGACGCUGAGGCACGAAAGCGUGGGGAGCGAACAGG
This 253-nucleotide ribosomal RNA is filed under the name uncultured bacterium. RNAcentral's name for it is "partial 16S ribosomal RNA". It matches the Rfam family "Bacterial small subunit ribosomal RNA", at positions 524 to 776 of the family's 1533-position model. The record is from RNAcentral.